RNAcentral lists this long non-coding RNA (1874 nucleotides) under Marmota monax (woodchuck). The record is from RNAcentral. Lineage: Eukaryota; Metazoa; Chordata; Mammalia; Rodentia; Sciuridae.
UUUUUUUGAAAUUUACUUUUGAAAGGUGACAUUUUGGUGACUUUUUAAGAAUAUGCGCCAUCUUUUAUUUCAUUCUUUUUUUGGUGGCGGGGGUGGUGGUGCCAGGGAUUGAACUCAAGGGUACUCAACCACUGAGCCACAUUCUCAGCCCUAUUUCAUAUUUUAUUUAGAGACAGGGUCUCAAUGAGUUGCUUAGCACCUUGCUGUUGCUGAGGCUGACUUUGAACUCACGAUGCUCCUGCCCCAGCUUCCCAAGUCACUGGGAUUAUAGGCAUGCAUCACCACACCUGGCUAUUUCACCCCCCCCCCUUUUUUUUAAUGGACACAAUAUUUUAUUUUAUUCACUUUUUUGUGGUGUUGAGGAUCAAGCCCAGUGCCUCACACAUGCCAGGUGAGCGCUCUACCACUGAGCCACAACCCCAACCCUAUUUCAUUCUUUUUUAACAUAUCCAAUAAAAAAAUUUAAAAUUCUUCAUCUGGUCACAGUGGUGCUCGCUCAUAAUCACAGCUAGUUGGGAAACUGAGGCAGGAGGAUCCCAAGUUCGAGGGCAGCUUGGGCAACUUAGUAAGCCCUGUCUCAAAAAAGAAACCAAAAGGGCCAGGGAUGUAGCUCAAUGGUAGAAUGCUUGGUGUGAGGCCCAGUACUGCAGAAUAAAUAAUUAAUUAAUGUAAAAAUAAAAAUUUGCCAUUAGGGCAAUGAAAUAGCUUUUAUUAGUGUUUUAUCCUACUUAAUUAAAUUGUUCUACAGUACAAGUUUCCAAGUGUUCUCUUGAUAUAAUCAUAAAGAUAGGCUUAAUUCACAUAGUAACACUCUGGGACAAAAAGAGAGAGAAGUCCAUUGAGACUCGGGCUCAGAGUUAUUUGAGGGCUGAUCAAGUAGGCUUCCUCUGCCAAGCAUGGGAUAAAAUUCCAAACUCCCAGAGAGAAAAAAGAAUAGGAGUUAAGUAAAUACCAUAUUGUUCACAUAAACAGUUCAGGCUCACUGAGCCCUGGGUGCCUUCCAAAAUCCAGUUCCCAAAUGCCGGCAAAGGUUGAAAACUUUGAACAAGCACUUGUAAGGUCAUUCAGUUUCAGGACUGCUAUUCUUAACUCUUUUCCACCCAGAGUUAGUAGGACUUGGGUACGAGAGGUACUGUAGACCUAGGGUACAGAGAGAAAGUAGGGGUGAUUCAGGCACCAUGUUUUAAAUCACUGAGUUCACCAACAGAAGGUAUGUUUCUAUUCCACUGUUGCUUUACUGACUCCUUCAGUCCUAACAUUAGAACAGCUGUGCAGGAAGAAGUCAGUGAAGACGGAGAGUGAGAAUCUGAUGAACGAGUCAUGAGAUAAAUAAAUGGGGGCCUCAGAGUCAUGUGAACUGAUGAAUUGAGUACACACCCCGUGCUGUCGGCAUCACCCUUCCUCCUGUGCACGUGCAGAUCUCUCGGGACUCACUGGGCUUUGAAGGCUGAACUUCAGCUGGAAGGAGAGAACUUUGCUGGAUCCUUCCCACAACACUCUCUACCAAGAUGCAGUGCUGGCAGCCCUCAAGAACCUGGCCUUUGAAGGUAUGCGUGAGAUCAUGCCAGAUUAGCUGGAGGUCAAGAGUUUCUUGCUCAUCAAUGCUGCUCAGUGAUUUAGAAAAUGGAAGGGGAGUACUUUGGUGAAUAAAUCAAGAUGGCCUUAGUGUACCAUAAGCCUAGAAUCGGAUAUUUUUUAUAAUGGUGUAAUUAAUUCAUAAUGAUUUUCUAGGUCUACAUUUUAGAAAUAAAAUUGGAAGACUAGAACAUUGAAGACCAGUGCAGAAAUCCCAGGAGAAAUCAAAGGUAAUUUGUAAGAGAAAACUUUGUUCCUUGAAAGGAUCUUAGAAUCUUAAAAAAUAAGAUUAAAUAAAA